This 497-nucleotide ribosomal RNA is filed under the name uncultured bacterium. RNAcentral describes it as "partial 16S ribosomal RNA". It matches the Rfam family "Bacterial small subunit ribosomal RNA", at positions 28 to 507 of the family's 1533-position model. The record is from RNAcentral.
GAUGAACGCUGGCGGCGUGCCUAAUACAUGCAAGUCGAGCGAACGGACGAGAAGCUUGCUUCUCUGAUGUUAGCGGCGGACGGGUGAGUAACACGUGGAUAACCUACCUAUAAGACUGGGAUAACUUCGGGAAACCGGAGCUAAUACCGGAUGAUAUUUUGAACCGCAUGGUUCAAAAGUGAAAGACGGUCUUCCUGUCACUUAUACAUGGAUCCGCGCUGCAUUAGCUAGUUGGUAAGGUAACGGCUUACCAAGGCAACGAUGCAUAGCCGACCUGAGAGGGUGAUCGGCCACACUGGAACUGAGACACGGUCCAGACUCCUACGGGAGGCAGCAGUAGGGAAUCUUCCGCAAUGGGCGAAAGCCUGACGGAGCAACGCCGCGUGAGUGAUGAAGGCCUUCGGAUCGUAAAACUCUGUUAUUAGGGAAGAACAUAUGUGUAAGUAACUGUGCACAUCUUGACGGUACCUAAUCAGAAAGCCACGGCUAACUACGUG